This is a long non-coding RNA of Poecilia latipinna (sailfin molly), 131 nucleotides long. RefSeq lists it as uncharacterized. The record is from RefSeq and is a predicted model, not a curated record. NCBI's taxonomy places the organism in Eukaryota, Metazoa, Chordata, Actinopteri, Cyprinodontiformes, Poeciliidae. The transcript has 2 exons.
GUGCACCAGGUCGGCCCAAGUCUCCCACAGAGGGUGAACAAUGUAGUCAAUGAAGCCAACCUUGAAAGGAGAGAACAGCAAGGGGAAAAAAUUACAUCUUUAUUUCUGUGUGUAGAGUUCACAUUGAUUAA